This 133-nucleotide small nucleolar RNA is filed under the name Castor canadensis (American beaver). RNAcentral describes it as "Small nucleolar RNA SNORA51 (ENSCCNG00000018411.1)". It matches the Rfam family "Small nucleolar RNA SNORA51". Rfam says of the family: ACA51 is a member of the H/ACA class of snoRNA that guide the sites of modification of uridines to pseudouridines. The record is from Rfam by way of RNAcentral. Lineage: Eukaryota; Metazoa; Chordata; Mammalia; Rodentia; Castoridae.
AGUCUCCUGGUGCUUACCACAGGCUGUGUUCUUACACUGACUCUGUAGAAAGAGGAGGGAAAAUAUACCUACCCCACAUACACCUCAGCCCAGGCCCUGUGCCUGGUCUAUAUUUGUGAGUGGGAAGACAUGG